RNAcentral lists this ribosomal RNA (441 nucleotides) under uncultured bacterium. RNAcentral describes it as "partial 16S ribosomal RNA". It matches the Rfam family "Bacterial small subunit ribosomal RNA", at positions 355 to 788 of the family's 1533-position model. The record is from RNAcentral.
UGGGGAAUUUUGGACAAUGGGCGAAAGCCUGAUCCAGCAAUGCCGCGUGUGUGAAGAAGGCCUUCGGGUUGUAAAGCAUUUUUGUCCGGAAAGAAAUCCUUGGCUCUAAUACAGUCGGGGGAUGACGGUACCGGAAGAAUAAGCACCGGCUAACUACGUGCCAGCAGCCGCGGUAAUACGUAGGGUGCAAGCGUUAAUCGGAAUUACUGGGCGUAAAGCGUGCGCAGGCGGUUUGCUAAGACCGAUGUGAAAUCCCCGGGCCCAACCUGGGAACUGCAUUGGUGACUGGCAGGCUAGAGUAUGGCAGAGGGGGGUAGAAUUCCACGUGUAGCAGUGAAAUGCGUAGAGAUGUGGAGGAAUACCGAUGGCGAAGGCAGCCCCCUGGGCCAAUACUGACGCUCAUGCACGAAAGCGUGGGGAGCAAACAGGAUUAGAUACCCU